Molecule: ribosomal RNA, 505 nt
Filed under: uncultured bacterium
Lineage: Bacteria
Description: bacterial SSU rRNA
Rfam family: Bacterial small subunit ribosomal RNA
Source: RNAcentral
UGGGGAAUAUUGCGCAAUGGGCGAAAGCCUGACGCAGCAACACCGCGUGAGGGAUGACGGCCUUCGGGUUGUAAACCUCUUUCAGCUCCGACGAAGCGAAAGUGACGGUAGGAGCAGAAGAAGCACCGGCUAACUACGUGCCAGCAGCCGCGGUAAUACGUAGGGUGCAAGCGUUGUCCGGAAUUAUUGGGCGUAAAGAGCUCGUAGGCGGUCCGUUGCGUCUGCCGUGAAAACCCGGAGCUCAACUCCGGGCCUGCGGUGGAUACGGGCGGACUAGAGUCCGGUAGGGGAGACUGGAAUUCCUGGUGUAGCGGUGGAAUGCGCAGAUAUCAGGAGGAACACCGGUGGCGAAGGCGGGUCUCUGGGCCGGAACUGACGCUGAGGAGCGAAAGCGUGGGGAGCGAACAGGAUUAGAUACCCUGGUAGUCCACGCCGUAAACGGUGGGUACUCGGUGGUGCGGGUGUCGACCCCUGCGCUGCCUUAGCUAACGCGUUAAGUACCCCG